AUUGAACGCUGGCGGCAGGCCUAACACAUGCAAGUCGAGCGGAUGAAGGGAGCUUGCUCCUGGAUUCAGCGGCGGACGGGUGAGUAAUGCCUAGGAAUCUGCCUGGUAGUGGGGGAUAACGUCCGGAAACGGGCGCUAAUACCGCAUACGUCCUGAGGGAGAAAGUGGGGGAUCUUCGGACCUCACGCUAUCAGAUGAGCCUAGGUCGGAUUAGCUAGUUGGUGGGGUAAAGGCCUACCAAGGCGACGAUCCGUAACUGGUCUGAGAGGAUGAUCAGUCAGACGGGAGAGACAGGCAGGCCGACAUUGAGAGGGAGGCGAGGGGGGGAGAAAAUGGGACACGUGCGGAGUGCAGGAUGCAGCCGUGCGGAGUUAGUGAAGGAGGUCUCCGUAGUAUAAAGCUCUGAAAGUUGGAAAGAUGAGAAGUUAAUUACUCCCUGGCUGUUAUGAACUCACCAACAGAAUAAGCACCGGCUAACGUCGUACCAGCAGCCGCGGUAAUAAGCGGAAGGGCACACGGCUGAAC
This 525-nucleotide ribosomal RNA is filed under the name uncultured bacterium. Its description in RNAcentral is "partial 16S ribosomal RNA". It matches the Rfam family "Bacterial small subunit ribosomal RNA", at positions 34 to 540 of the family's 1533-position model. The record is from RNAcentral.